AAUUGUAUCACUGACUUGUGCGCGUGCGGCAGAAGACAAUGGCACGUUUGCAGACAACGGGGGUGACUGUCCAUCUGUCCCCUCUACCCCUCCAUCUCUCUCUCUCUUUGGUGGGGAAGGGAGGAAGGGGGAGAGAUAGAGAGAGAGAGAGAGAGACGAUUCAGGGGAUUAGACGGCCGGACCCAGGUGCUCCCGUCUCGACCACGGGUAUUCUUGGGUUGAUAAUACGGAUCUCGAUGUUAUUGCUUGAGAAUACGCGUAGCUGAGUGGAAGCGAUUGUCGACCAAGAGCCUCAUGUCUCCUCACGGUCCACAGUAACCCCCCCACCCGAGGAUUCGGGAAAAGGGGCACGUAGGGGCGGGGCCCUUCUUUUUGUCCUGAAUUGGUCUUCCCCGAAGUGGACGGGUAAAAUUCCAGGUGCUGUCAGGGUAAGAAUUUCAAUGUGAUCUUCUCAGCGCCAUUACUCGUUUAUGUCCUGUCCCGUUGCAGGUGGUGGAUAACGAAAAGCAGAAGGUACAAAAGCCAGAACUGCACAAUCCCGCUUUUCGCCGUGCUUGACCGAGCACUCUGCCACCGCCUUGUUUGUUUCGGAACCGCAGCACUCGAAGCCUACCUCUCCAUCGUGUAGGUGUCGGUUUUUGUGGGAAGGAAGGAUGAAUGCUGAAAAGACAGCCACGACGCGGCAGCCCGUCCCCCCCCCCCCCGCCAUGGCUCUUCAGACGCCUCCGCACUCCCCCGCGGGCGCGUGCGCACACACACACACACACACACACACACACACACACAAGCGCGCGCACCUCCUGGCCCCCUCGCGGAUUCCAGCGCUUUCUCAGCUGCGGUGCAGGAGGGCAGCCUGGCUUCCGAGACGCAGGACUGGGGACGCAAGGUCGGAGCCCAACAGCCCCGGCUUUAGCCCCUCCGCAGAGCCGUUAAAAACCAAACAAGUGAAUUCUCACCUUUUUCCACCCCUUCCGACACAGUACCUACAGUUUGUACCAGUGUACCCCGAUUGCACUCCGAUUGUUUCGGCGAAGAAGAAUUCAAGAGGAAUUAGUUGCCAACAGAAGCAGCAAGCUUCACCUGUCUUCCUCGCCUGACUUGGCAUCGCUUCCGUACUCCCCAGCAGACCACAGCCAAGGACAGAUGGACCUGAUCCGACCCUCUAACUCCCCCAGACGGCACCCGCAAGUCCAGCUGACCCGAAGGCGACCCGCCUCCCGAGAGGCAGGGAUGCCGGUGAGCGGGCGCCCAGGUGCACAGAAGGCACUCUGCUCCCGUGAGCAAGAAACGGGGCCUCGGAAGGUUUGUCGGGCACAAACACCCUCCGAGUCACAGAGCCUACCGUAGCUGGCCUUCACCGUUUGGAUCAACUGCUUGAUCACACCCAGUGUGAGGGCGCUUGUAUUUAGCAGAGUGGGAAGAGCUGAAUUUGGCCCAGAUUAAUGGAAACGGUCUUAGAGUUAUUACAAUUCGGACUGCGAUCUGGUAACCCUCGUAUGGAUAUUGUUUUUAGAUAUUGUUGCCUCUCAUCACACUUUUGCCGUGCCCUUUGCGCUGUGUAGCAUGACCGCGCUUGAUUUAAUGAUACGCUUACAAAACACCUACCCAGGUUGCAGUGGUUAAAAACACUAAACUUUAUAUGUGCCUUUCAGAUGCCUUCAAGAAUUUCUUUUUAGCCUCAAAAGCGGUCUGAAUAUCACAGUUACUCUCGCGAGGCGCUGGGGGAUGUAGCCACAGCUUCGGAAACCUCAAGGAGUGAUGUUUAGGUAAUGAAAAGGUAUACAACCGCAUAAGUCACCCCUUGAUAACACGGUUAUGGAGGCGAGUUGGAAAACUGCAAAUGAAGGCAGAUUAGAACAUUUGAUUUGACCGGAUGAGGGACUGAAAACAGAGCAAUUCAGCACAGAGCAUUAGGUCACGUUUUGUACCCUCACAAACAUGCUUGAGUAUCGAGGAUACGCUAUGAAGCCGAUAAAAAACACUUGAGUGUGUUGCUGUUGGAAGCAAACACAAGCCCAGUGUGUGAAGCUAAUUAAAUAUAACACUGGGCAAUGGUGCCACCUUGUGUCCUUUUUUAAUGGGGACUAAAUACACUGGGUGCCGCUCUUGUGAAUUGAACAGCUGGGCACAAAAGUCUGUUCGUGACUUGGUUUCUUCACAAAUCCAAAGUUAUUUUUACUGCUGUCACAAUUAAUAAAAGCUUAAGAAUGCAGACA
RNAcentral lists this long non-coding RNA (2216 nucleotides) under Scleropages formosus (Asian bonytongue). Its description in RNAcentral is "lncRNA (ENSSFOG00015027971.1)". The stretch from base 197 to 267 matches the Rfam family "mir-137 microRNA precursor family". Lineage: Eukaryota; Metazoa; Chordata; Actinopteri; Osteoglossiformes; Osteoglossidae. The record is from RNAcentral.